CCGCAGCAGGAGGCGGACCAGGAGAAACCGGGGCGGGCUCUGGAGCUCUUGGCACCCUCUUUGCAACAUUUUUGCAAACCCGACUGUUGUAGAUCAGGAUUAAGAAACGCGGCCAGGCGUGCACGUCCCUCUGGGGCAGCCCUGGCCUCCUCCAGGGCUGGGGAGCUGAGCUCAGGUUUGCAGGCUGGGACCUCGUUCUGGCACCCCCGCCCGCCCUCCUUGGAGCCACCCAGGGCCCAGGCUCCUUCCUUUAAGUCCAGGAGGGGGCGGCCAGAGUCUUCCCUGCAGGGCGCUGGCCCCCUGGAGCCGCAGCGGGAGACUCACAUCUGCUGGUCAGAGCGGCUCGGGGUGGGUGGGGGGGAGAGCUUCAGCCUGCGCCUCUUCCAGUCUGUCAGGGUGCAGCGGGUCUGUGCUCCCCUCCCCUCUGGUGUCCUUCGAGUAAUUGCUGUGCCCCAGGGUGAUCUCGGGGCCUGAGGUCCCGAAUGAAUCAGAGGUCGGCCUGAUCUCGCGGGUGGAGGCCCAGAGCAGAGUGGACGCCCGGGAAAGAAAACCUACGUCCACAGGAAAUCCGUGCUCAGGGUCCACAGCAGCACACCUCAGAGUUGGGCAGAGGGGACCACCCGGGUGACCACUAGGAGUGUCUCUCGGCCACCCACAGGAGCGAGGUGGCAGCUGCACUGGACGGACCUGAAGACCUGGUGCUCAGUCAGAGCCACAGACACAGGCCACCGGCUGUGACCCAGUGACAGGAGGGUCAAGGACAGGAGUCUAGAGACGGGAUGUGGGCCAUGGGGAGGGACGGGGGCUGCUCCUGGACUUCCUUCGGGGAUGGAAUGUUCUGGAACCAGACAGAGGUGCCGCUGCCACUGGACUGUGCACUCUAAAAUGGCCGAUCUGUGUUACGUGACUCUCACUCAGAAGCAGCGUUGGGCAGAGGUUUCAGAGAGGCUGACCGGGCUGAAGAGUAGACCCGUGCCCAGAGCCGGAGCGCAGGGACACAGGGUGCCCAGAGGCCCCCAGGCCCAGGACUGGCCGCGAUGGUGGAUGCUCGGCCCUGCUCGGUGGUUGUGGGCUUUGCUGUCAGAUCAGAGCUGCGGCCCAGAACUCUGGGUUCCCCUCUCGUCUGGAAUCCGGGGACCUUCCUUCCAGCUGGCCGCUGGGUGAGGAGUUGCCCUCGGGCUCCUUCCCCGUCCGCAGCCCGCCAGCCACCACGCUGGGCUGUGGGCAGCGGCCCCUUGAGACAGGUAGAACCCGCUUCCCGGAGGGGAGACUGAGGCAGGGAGAGGGAUCAGGCCUAGGGGCCAGGGCCUUGGUGCCCCGGCCUGCCCACAGGCCGCGCUCUGUCCCCCGCCACAGCAGGAGGCUGGCGUUGUCUGGGUUCUCAUGAGGGGGACAUGUUCCCAGCUCUGGCGGUGCACAGGGGUCCUACGAUGGCCAAAGGCGCCCCCUGCAGGUCGCCGUCGGAAGCCGGGGUUGCUCCCGCUCUCCAGGCUGAGAGCUUGCGGGUGCCCCUCUCCUUGGCCGUCCCCUGCAGUGAGGUGGCCUGCUCUUCACUCCUGAGCAGAGGCAUGUUGGGGUCUGGGACACGGAGCAGGUAGGUCCCUGCUGGGUGGUUCCAUUUGGAGGGCGUGGUGCCUGGUCAGCUGGGCUGAAUGAUGACCGCGGCGUUUGGCCCAGGUGCUGCCCUGGGGGUCUCUGGAUGCCCCCAGAGUCUGGAAUCCGUGGUGUUAAGUGAAGGAGGGGUUCGGGGACACAGCAGGGCCCCAGCCUCACGCGCCCUCCACCAGGAGGCCUUCAGGGCAAGAGCAGGGCUUCCUGGGUCAGCACACGCUGCCCGCAGGCCCAGCGGUUGGCAGAGGUGCCACGCACCACGCGGGUUCUUUGGUAGAGGUCGUGUAGGUCAGGAAGUCUGCAUCCGAGGAGGCAGGUGCAUCAACAGGGCAGAGGCCACCCUUGCCACAAAGAGCACAAGCCCCGGCAGCGGGGGCAGCCUGGGCAGCUGGCAGAGGCCCUCGGGGGCGGAGGCCAGGCUUCCCCUGCCAGGCUGCGCACCACUGAGCUGCUCCCUGGGCCCGGGAGGAGGCGACUUACAAGCCAUAGGUUGGCACCUGCAGGGACGGAGAGCCUUCCAGGCAAAACACAGGAGGGGCAAGGCCCGGGCAGCAAUCAGCCCAGUGAGCUCAGGAACAGACCAGAG
RNAcentral lists this long non-coding RNA (2197 nucleotides) under Marmota monax (woodchuck). The record is from RNAcentral. Lineage: Eukaryota; Metazoa; Chordata; Mammalia; Rodentia; Sciuridae.